This 82-nucleotide transfer RNA is filed under the name Caulochytrium protostelioides. It matches the Rfam family "tRNA". From Rfam's summary of the family: Transfer RNA (tRNA) molecules are approximately 80 nucleotides in length. Their secondary structure includes four short double-helical elements and three loops (D, anti-codon, and T loops). Further hydrogen bonds mediate the characteristic L-shaped molecular structure. tRNAs have two regions of fundamental functional importance: the anti-codon, which is responsible for specific mRNA codon recognition, and the 3' end, to which the tRNAs corresponding amino acid is attached (by aminoacyl-tRNA synthetases). tRNAs cope with the degeneracy of the genetic code in two manners: having more than one tRNA (with a specific anti-codon) for a particular amino acid; and 'wobble' base-pairing, i.e. permitting non-standard base-pairing at the 3rd anti-codon position. The record is from Rfam by way of RNAcentral. Lineage: Eukaryota; Fungi; Chytridiomycota; Caulochytriomycetes; Caulochytriales; Caulochytriaceae.
GACACUGUGGCCGAGUGGUUAAGGCGAUUGACUAGAAAUCAAUUUCUGUUUCAGAGCGCAGGUUCAAAUCCUGCCGGUGUCG